UAGGUUAGAAACUCGUACAUGUAAAGUUUUUUGAAAUUUAUUUCUUCGCACGGAUCCGGUGGUGGGGUUUCGGGGUUUCCGCAACGCAAAAAGCGGUUUUUGCGGCCCGAAAAACCCAACAUCCAGGAUCACAUCCAAGAGGAAGACAAAGAAGACUAAUAAAAACAUGGCAGUAUCACAAAUCCCAUCUGUGACGAAGAAAAUCCCUUGGGACAUAGUUGGCAAUCAAUUCUCGGAUCAAAUUCUAUAGGAAAAUGAAGGGCCUCUUGUCCCAGCCAUGACAAAUUUAGUGACAAGGAAUCAGUGAAGACAAUUGCAGCACAACUGACCAAUAGAAAUUCAUGUAAUGCUAAAAACAUUGGCCCGUGCUGCUCAGCUCGCCACAAUGAUAGAGCUGGGAGUGGUUGUUUUGGUGAUGAAGGUAGCUCUAUAUCUACUAGGAAAGCAUAUUCAGCAUUUCCACUUGUAUUUCCUUUAGUUGGACUACCCAAGUCCUCGCAUCUCGGUUGGGACCAUUGGUUUUCCUUAAGGGAUCUUGAGCUCACAACAAGUCGUUUCUCAAAUGACAAUGUCCUCAGGGAAGGUGGAUAUGGAGUUGUCUAUUGUGGGCGUUUGAUAAAUGGUAUUGAGGUUGCAGUAAAGAAGCUAAGUUCAUUGCUCCCUUUCAUUCAGGUUCUUGUUACCUCAAAAUAAUGUACUAAUGCUCACUCAUUGAAUUAUGUAGAGGACAAGCAGAGAAGGAAUUCAGAGUAGAGGUGGAAGCCAUUGGUCAUGUUCGGCAUAAGAAUCUAGUUAGGCUUUUGGGGUAUUGCAUAGAAGGAAUUCACAGGUGAAAAGUUUGAGUUGUUCAUUUAGUUACUUCCAUUGAGAUGAUUACAUAGAUCGACUGAUGUUAACUGGAUGCUUGUGUCUGAGUAUGUCAACAAUGGAAACUUAGAGUAGCGGCUACAUGGAGCUAUGCAUCAAAGAGGCAUCCUUAGUUGGGAGAAGCGCAUGAAGGUCAUCCUUGGCACAACAAAGGCAUAAGCUCAAUCCUCAACAAUUCUUCUUCUUUUCAGUCUUCUAUACUACAGUUUGAGUUGCCUAGCUUACUCCUUUCAGGCUUGCUUACUUGCAUGAAGCAAUCAAAUCAAAAGUAGUGUCAAUAAGAGUUCUAACAAUUUUAAUUUUUCUAUUAAAAUUUUGAUCAACAAUUAUUAGAGGUAAAAGAGAAAUACAUAAUUUUGAAGUGUUGAUAAAGAGACAAAGAUCAACCACUAUAAUCCAAAAGCAUGUGAGAAAAUGGUCUACUAGGAAGAUCUUUAAUGAGCAUAUGAGGGAUGUUAUACUAUUGCAGUCUGGUAACAUACUUCUAUCACCACUCUUUGGUAUUUUUAUUAUUUCUUUUGGUUUAUUAUAACUCGUAUGCAUAUAAUAUUGCUUUUAUCUUAAAGGAAAAGUGUAUUAACUAGUUUUUAUACCUCUCAUAUCUUUUAGUUCCAUCAAUUAUUACAACACUUGGCAAAAACUAUUAGAGUGGUAAGACUCAUUGAUGGUUCUCCCAUUAUUCAUUUGUUAUUUUUUUCUUAUGGAUCUUUAUAAAUGUGCUUUGUGAUCCUUCCUUAUUGUAGUUCAAUAACUUAUAUUGUGGUAUUAUUGAAAUAACUACUAGUUAUUGUUUUACUGUAGCAUCGUUGAAUGUACUUGUUGUGUGUUGUAACUGAAUGUCGACAUUUAGAAAAUUAAAAAUGACAAUUUGACAGUGAAAACUUCUUGUUUAAUGGAGGAUUUUGUUAGUCUUCAACAAAUAUCAUCUUUAUAUGUGCUACUUACUAUUUCAUGACAAUGAUACAUCAGUUUAUUGGAUUGUAGAUGCGCCACUCUUCUUUAAUUCUAGAAAAUUUUAUGUAACACAAACUUUGAUGACUCUCAAUUUGUUCAUUUGAUUAUAAAUGGUCUCAAUUAAUCUUCUAUGAUUUACUUCAAGUUCACCAUCAUUUACAUUGGAAUUUGUAAGAUGUCCAAUUUUAAUCAUCAUUUUCUGUUAGGGUACAAUUGUUUCAUUUUUUAGGACUUAGUGGAUAUGUAUGCUCAACUUCUAGCUCAUCAUACUUAAGUUUAUUUUUAUUUUAACUGAAUCAUGUUUCUGAUUUUGUAUUUAUGUGCUUUACUCCCUAAUUUUUAUCUUUCCUACCUAAUUAAACAUCUUGUGACAUGUUAAUUAUCUAUUUUGCCAUCUCUUAUUUAGACUUUGUUAAUGUGCAAUCUGUUUAGAUAAAUUGUUGUUGCUACUUGUGCUUACACUUCUAUUGUAAUAUCCAAAUUAAAAGUUAGAACUCAUUGUUUUUCUAAAUAAAAAGAUUUAAAUCCAUUUCAUCAAUGAAAUUCAAAAGAACUUGUAUUUUCUUCCCACCUUAAAGUGAUGAGAGACUUGUACUUUCUUCCCACCUUAAAGUGAUGAGUUUGCCUAGUUGUUUUACAAAAUUAACUUUUUUCUAUAUGCAAUAUAGAAAAAAUGCCUAAAUUCUACAAAGAAUAGUAGUCUUUGUGAGCUGCAUCGAAUUGCUAUCAUGAGUUCUUUUUAAUUUUAUUUUUCUAUUAUCUUCUAUGAUCUUGUGUAGUUGUGUACAAGAAACAUAGGAAAUAUACCUCUUGUUUUGAUUGCAGCUUUAUGUCGGGACAAAUCAAAUCCAUUUGGUGAUUUUAUCAAAUGUAGCCAAGAUGGAAAUGCAUACAUAUCAUUUGGCCAGUGGGUUGGUGCAUUAGUCUUGUAUAUCUAUGUUUUUCAUAGCUUGCACUGCCACCAUGUCAAAACUUUGAUGGAGCAUAAGAGGCAAAGCUUCCAACUAGACAUCCUUUGGAGAACUCUGAAACUGAGAAAGUUCCAUUACUAACUUCAAGAGAGGUUGAAUCUACUAGACUUAAGAAACAUCAAAUAUUGUAUAUAUAUGUUUGUAAGAAGUAUUGUAUAUAUGUUUUGCUAUAAGUUUGUAUAUAUGUUUGUAAGAAGUGAUCAUUUUAAAUGGGAUGAUAUAUGUUUAUAGACAUGUUUGUAGAUAAUAAUUUAUUGUUCUCUAGUA
Zingiber officinale is the source of this 3059-nucleotide long non-coding RNA. RefSeq lists it as uncharacterized. The record is from RefSeq and is a predicted model, not a curated record. The transcript has 2 exons. Lineage: Eukaryota; Viridiplantae; Streptophyta; Magnoliopsida; Zingiberales; Zingiberaceae.